ACACAAUUCCUCUGGGCUAUUGUUAUUUCAACAAAAGAGGGGGAGGAGAGGCUCAGCGAGUCACUCUGUGGCUUUCUGGCAUUUCCAGGAAAAAGAUGGAGUUGCCAGCUUCACCCCACAUCAACCAAAUCUACAGGAGCUCUUCAGAAUCAACCCUUUCAAAUAUGAACACCAUCAUUUCACUGAUGGACCUGCCCCAAAUCUCCUCUGUGGAGAGGAAAAUUAUUUUCCUUACAAAACUGCAGUCCUGCCACUGAACUUAUUGCCAAAAUCUGAAGUCUUCCUUGCUCUUUCAUGGGAUUUUACUGACCCAGAGCAGUGUGUGAUGGUGCUGGAUAAGAAAUGUGGAUAUGCUGCAGAAACUAUUGCAGAAUCAAGAAGAAGCAGCAGGUGAAGAAAUGGAUGGUGUCUUCAUCAAUAGAAAGCAAAACAUAAUUGAAAUUAAAUGCACAUCUGCCAGUGAUGGUUGAGGUAAUGUAAAAUUAUUAAUAUUGACAAGAGACCAUAUUCUGCCUUGGCUGGCAGGUGAAGUCACAGAGACAAGAGUUGUAGCAUCAGCUUUGGUUAAGAUAUU
Oenanthe melanoleuca is the source of this 574-nucleotide long non-coding RNA. RefSeq lists it as uncharacterized. The record is from RefSeq and is a predicted model, not a curated record. The transcript has 3 exons. Lineage: Eukaryota; Metazoa; Chordata; Aves; Passeriformes; Muscicapidae.